AUGAAAUACCUAGGCCUCCCGGUUUCCACUCGUAGAAUUCGUUUAGUGCACCUUCAAUUCCUUGUUGAUAGAAUUAGGGCUCGCCUUGCGGGUUGGAAGGGUAGGCUUAUGAAUCUUGCUGGUCGCCGAAUCCUAGUCCGUAGUGUGUUGUCAGUGCUACCAACAUUUGCGAUGACGGUGAUGCGGCUCCCAAAUAAGCUUCUGAAGGAUAUUGACAAGGCCAGACGGCGUUUCCUCUGGGCGCAGGAUGAAGAAUUGUCGAGCGGAAAGUGCAAAAUAAACUGG
This 285-nucleotide ribosomal RNA is filed under the name Triticum aestivum (bread wheat). Its description in RNAcentral is "partial small subunit ribosomal RNA". Lineage: Eukaryota; Viridiplantae; Streptophyta; Magnoliopsida; Poales; Poaceae. The record is from RNAcentral.